This 508-nucleotide ribosomal RNA is filed under the name uncultured bacterium. RNAcentral's name for it is "partial 16S ribosomal RNA". It matches the Rfam family "Bacterial small subunit ribosomal RNA", at positions 28 to 507 of the family's 1533-position model. The record is from RNAcentral.
GACGAACGCUGGCGGCGUGCCUAAUACAUGCCAGUCGAACGCUUCUUUCCUCCCGAGUGCUUGCACUCAAUUGGAAAGAGGAGUGGCGGACGGGUGAGUAACACGUGGGUAACCUACCCAUCAGAGGGGGAUAACACUUGGAAACAGGUGCUAAUACCGCAUAACAGUUUAUGCCGCAUGGCAUAAGAGUGAAAGGCGCUUUCGGGUGUCGCUGAUGGAUGGACCCGCGGUGCAUUAGCUAGUUGGUGAGGUAACGGCUCACCAAGGCCACGAUGCAUAGCCGACCUGAGAGGGUGAUCGGCCACACUGGGACUGAGACACGGCCCAGACUCCUACGGGAGGCAGCAGUAGGGAAUCUUCGGCAAUGGACGAAAGUCUGACCGAGCAACGCCGCGUGAGUGAAGAAGGUUUUCGGAUCGUAAAACUCUGUUGUUAGAGAAGAACAAGGACGUUAAUAACUGAACGUCCCCUGACGGUAUCUAACCAGAAAGCCACGGCUAACUACGUG